AUGUUUUCUCCCUAGGGCUUUCGUUAUCAUUUCUUAGCUCGGCACACCCCUUCACUUUGUUGUCACUCACUUGAUACUUUGGGAUAUGUUCAUUGAUCAUCUUUUUACACUGUACACCUAUCACGGGCUUAGUAUCUCAUCAUUUGUUUGAUUCUUGGUUCGAUUUUCAACUUGAUGCUCAUAUUUUCAUUACAGAAAGGUGAAAG
Molecule: long non-coding RNA, 206 nt
Filed under: Vitis vinifera (wine grape)
Lineage: Eukaryota; Viridiplantae; Streptophyta; Magnoliopsida; Vitales; Vitaceae
Description: long non-coding RNA (VVIN_LNC008157)
Source: RNAcentral